RNAcentral lists this long non-coding RNA (396 nucleotides) under Homo sapiens (human). RNAcentral describes it as "long non-coding RNA NONHSAT169797.1". Lineage: Eukaryota; Metazoa; Chordata; Mammalia; Primates; Hominidae. The record is from RNAcentral.
AUGGAGUUUGGGCUGAGCUGGGUUUUCCUUGUUGCUAUUUUAAAGGUGUCCAGUGUGAGGUGCAGCUGGUGGAGUCUGGGGGAGGCUUGGUACAGCCUGGGGGGUCCCUGAGACUCUCCUGUGCAGCCUCUGGAUUCACCUUUAGCAGCUAUGCCAUGAGCUGGGUCCGCCAGGCUCCAGGGAAGGGGCUGGAGUGGGUCUCAGCUAUUAGUGGUAGUGGUGGUAGCACAUACUACGCAGACUCCGUGAAGGGCCGGUUCACCAUCUCCAGAGACAAUUCCAAGAACACGCUGUAUCUGCAAAUGAACAGCCUGAGAGCCGAGGACACGGCCGUAUAUUACUGUGCGAAAGAACUUUGACUACUGGGGCCAGGGAACCCUGGUCACCGUCUCCUCA